UGGGAUGUGGCUCAGUGGUAGAGCACUUGCCUUGCAUAUAUAAAGCACUGUGUUCAAUUCUCAGCACCACAU
Molecule: transfer RNA, 72 nt
Filed under: Ictidomys tridecemlineatus (thirteen-lined ground squirrel)
Lineage: Eukaryota; Metazoa; Chordata; Mammalia; Rodentia; Sciuridae
Description: Spermophilus tridecemlineatus (thirteen-lined ground squirrel) tRNA
Rfam family: tRNA
About the family: Transfer RNA (tRNA) molecules are approximately 80 nucleotides in length.
Source: Rfam by way of RNAcentral